AGUCGAACGAACUCUGGUAUUGAUUGGUGCUUGCAUCAUGAUUUACAUUUGAGUGAGUGGCGAACUGGUGAGUAACACGUGGGAAACCUGCCCAGAAGCGGGGGAUAACACCUGGAAACAGAUGCUAAUACCGCAUAACAACUUGGACCGCAUGGUCCGAGUUUGAAAGAUGGCUUCGGCUAUCACUUUUGGAUGGUCCCGCGGCGUAUUAGCUAGAUGGUGGGGUAACGGCUCACCAUGGCAAUGAUACGUAGCCGACCUGAGAGGGUAAUCGGCCACAUUGGGACUGAGACACGGCCCAAACUCCUACGGGAGGCAGCAGUAGGGAAUCUUCCACAAUGGACGAAAGUCUGAUGGAGCAACGCCGCGUGAGUGAAGAAGGGUUUCGGCUCGUAAAACUCUGUUGUUAAAGAAGAACAUAUCUGAGAGUAACUGUUCAGGUAUUGACGGUAUUUAACCAGAAAGCCACGGCUAACUACGUGCCAGCAGCCGCGGUAAUACGUAGGUGGCAAGCGUUGUCCGGAUUUAUUGGGCGUAAAGCGAGCGCAGGCGGUUUUUUAAGUCUGAUGUGAAAGCCUUCGGCUCAACCGAAGAAGUGCAUCGGAAACUGGGAAACUUGAGUGCAGAAGAGGACAGUGGAACUCCAUGUGUAGCGGUGAAAUGCGUAGAUAUAUGGAAGAACACCAGUGGCGAAGGCGGCUGUCUGGUCUGUAACUGACGCUGAGGCUCGAAAGUAUGGGUAGCAAACAGGAUUAGAUACCCUGGUAGUCCAUACCGUAAACGAUGAAUGCUAAGUGUUGGAGGGUUUCCGCCCUUCAGUGCUGCAGCUAACGCAUUAAGCAUUCCGCCUGGGGAGUACGGCCGCAAGGCUGAAACUCAAAGGAAUUGACGGGGGCCCGCACAAGCGGUGGAGCAUGUGGUUUAAUUCGAAGCUACGCGAAGAACCUUACCAGGUCUUGACAUACUAUGCAAAUCUAAGAGAUUAGACGUUCCCUUCGGGGACAUGGAUACAGGUGGUGCAUGGUUGUCGUCAGCUCGUGUCGUGAGAUGUUGGGUUAAGUCCCGCAACGAGCGCAACCCUUAUUAUCAGUUGCCAGCAUUAAGUUGGGCACUCUGGUGAGACUGCCGGUGACAAACCGGAGGAAGGUGGGGAUGACGUCAAAUCAUCAUGCCCCUUAUGACCUGGGCUACACACGUGCUACAAUGGAUGGUACAACGAGUUGCGAACUCGCGAGAGUAAGCUAAUCUCUUAAAGCCAUUCUCAGUUCGGAUUGUAGGCUGCAACUCGCCUACAUGAAGUCGGAAUCGCUAGUAAUCGCGGAUCAGCAUGCCGCGGUGAAUACGUUCCCGGGCCUUGUACACACCGCCCGUCACACCAUGAGAGUUUGUAACACCCAAAGUCGGUGGGGUAACCUUUUAGGAACCAGCCGCCUAANGUGGGACAGAUGAUUAGGGUG
RNAcentral lists this ribosomal RNA (1457 nucleotides) under Lactiplantibacillus plantarum. RNAcentral describes it as "bacterial SSU rRNA". It matches the Rfam family "Bacterial small subunit ribosomal RNA". The record is from RNAcentral. Lineage: Bacteria; Bacillati; Bacillota; Bacilli; Lactobacillales; Lactobacillaceae.